RNAcentral lists this ribosomal RNA (253 nucleotides) under uncultured bacterium. Its description in RNAcentral is "partial 16S ribosomal RNA". It matches the Rfam family "Bacterial small subunit ribosomal RNA", at positions 524 to 776 of the family's 1533-position model. The record is from RNAcentral.
UACGUAGGUGGCAAGCGUUGUCCGGAUUUACUGGGCGUAAAGAGCGCGCAGGCGGUCGUUCAAGUCGCGUGUGAAAGCCCCCGGCUCAACUGGGGAGGGUCACGCGAUACUGAUCGACUCGAAGGCAGGAGAGGGAAGUGGAAUUCCCGGUGUAGUGGUGAAAUGCGCAGAUAUCAGGAGGAACACCGGUGGCGAAGGCGGUUCUCUGGGCCUGUACUGACGCUGAGGAACGAAAGCGUGGGGAGCGAACAGG